AUUGAACGCUGGCGGCAGGCCUAACACAUGCAAGUCGAGCGGAUGAAGGGAGCUUGCUCCUGGAUUCAGCGGCGGACGGGUGAGUAAUGCCUAGGAAUCUGCCUGGUAGUGGGGGAUAACGUCCGGAAACGGGCGCUAAUACCGCAUACGUCCUGAGGGAGAAAGUGGGGGAUCUUCGGACCUCACGCUAUCAGAUGAGCCUAGGUCGGAUUAGCUAGUUGGUGGGGUAAAGGCCUACCAAGGCGACGAUCCGUAACUGGUCUGAGAGGAUGAUCAGUCACACUGGAACUGAGACACGGUCCAGACUACUACGGGAGGCAGCAGUGGGGAAUAUUGGACAAUGGGCGAAAGCCUGAUCCAGCCAUGACGCGUGUGUGAAGAAGGUCCUCGGAUUGUAAAGCACUUUAAGUUGGGAGGAAGGGCAGUAAGUUAAUACCUUGCUGUUUUGACGUUACCAACAGAAUAAGCACCGGCUAACUUCGUG
This 484-nucleotide ribosomal RNA is filed under the name uncultured bacterium. Its description in RNAcentral is "partial 16S ribosomal RNA". It matches the Rfam family "Bacterial small subunit ribosomal RNA", at positions 30 to 507 of the family's 1533-position model. The record is from RNAcentral.